This 235-nucleotide ribosomal RNA is filed under the name uncultured bacterium. Its description in RNAcentral is "partial 16S ribosomal RNA". It matches the Rfam family "Bacterial small subunit ribosomal RNA", at positions 96 to 334 of the family's 1533-position model. The record is from RNAcentral.
CGGCGGACGGGUGGGUAAUGUCUGGGAAACUGCCUGAUGGAGGGGGAUAACUACUGGAAACGGUAGCUAAUACCGCAUAACGUCGCAAGACCAAAGAGGGGGACCUUCGGGCCUCUUGCCAUCGGAUGUGCCCAGAUGGGAUUAGCUAGUAGGUGGGGUAACGGCUCACCUAGGCGACGAUCCCUAGCUGGUCUGAGAGGAUGACCAGCCACACUGGAACUGAGACACGGUCCAG